AUGUGGAUUUCGGUUGGUGAGAUGUUUCCACGGCAACCCGGCUGGAGCGGCGCGCGAACGACGGUUGAACAGCGAAUUCAGGGCAGCGGUGUAGAAAACAAGCUCACCCAGAACGUCGUGUUACGAUUAGCUACCAUUCAGUGGAGGGAAAGGGCCUCCAGCUGCUGCAACUGUUCUGCUGUGAAGCUCCCGAAAUGUUUUGUGGAUUACAUAACUUCACCUGACUGUCCAUCAACAUGUGGGUGCUCCCGGCCCUCCCAGACCGAAGGAGCCUUCGCUCUGCAGCCGGGAAUUCUGGGUGUUGGCGUUCCGCUGCGGCAGUGGACUGCCUGCGUCACCGAGACUCUGGUUACCGUGAACGCCUGAACUGUGCUGCUGGAGGACGCUGUGGGCGUGCUCGAUUCGGCCAGGGUGUCUAACCUGCUCAGGCUGGUAGGAGAGCGGAGGAGGUGGUCCGGACGAGGCGUACUCUCCCAGUGUCGGGGUGCCGGGAGUGUUGGGGAAGUCUGUGAACGCCGUUUGGCUGGAGAAUCCCUGGCUCCCUAUGAAGCCAAAAGAAAACAUUUAUUACUUCCAGUGAGCAAAUAAAAACAGGUCAGUGUAGACGGACUUUGUUUUCUCUUAUGUAAUAGAGACCAGCUGUAAGAGGACAUAUGCAGGGGGAUGGGACUCACAGGUCUUUGCUCUGCUGCCUGAAAUACUGUUCUGGGUCACCGCCCAUCAAAGAGCUGAUGACCUUUUUAACUGAGCAACAAAGUCUGAUUGUGUACAGUAUGUGUGCAUAUUACACACAAUAAAUACAGGACCAGUGGAGAGGGCUUACACCAGGUUUAAAAAUAUCUUCUGUACCUCAAAACACCAACAAAACAGUCAACAUUUUCUCUCUUACAUUGAAGAUCUAAUAUCUCUUUAGGGGUGCAUUGAUUCUCCAAACCCAUGAUUUUAUCUUCAGUUUUAUGGUCACGAUUCGGUAAAAUGUUUCGAUUUAAAACUCUUGUAAUGGCCGUGAUAGAGCUGUGGGAGCUGAUCGUGGCCGUUCUGGACGAUGCUGAGGCGUGUAAAUCUGUGCAGAGCAGAUCAAGCCAGACAUUCUUUUUGAGGUGCACUUGAACACACCAUGACAAACCUGUCGCUGCAUAUAUCAUUUUACCGUACAGAGCAGAGCAGAUUUCAGAGUUUAAGACCUACACCUGAAUGCACCAUGAAGUUUCUAUGAGAGUGAGAUCCAUCAUUAUGUACAAAAUUAUGUAUGCCCUCCUUUGGAGCUUGGCAGACUGUUUACAACUCAGACAUAUUCUUCUAACGACAUUUGCAGAAAACAUGACGCCUCUGCAGCGCAAAAGUACUUCAUUAUGAUGAUUACGAUACUUUACACAUUUUAUCUUUAUCAAAACUGCAGCUUGGAUAUUAGAUUUUACACUCCAUUUCGAUAAUACUUUGAUGAAUUGUGCAGCUCUACUUCGAUCUCACCACUAACUCUCACACAGUUUCCCUCUGGAGUGUUGACUCUACCUGGCCUGUUGUAGUCGGGGGUGUUUCUGCCCCCUGCAGUCAUACUCUGGUAGGGCGACGACGCCGGACCCAGAGCGGCGAUCAUCUCCAUCACAUUAGGCAGCACCAUGUGACUCGGGCUGACUGUUCGGCAGCGUUUCAGGACCGGACCGUCGGGCUCCUCCUUUAUGUGCAGGUCUGGUUUGACGGGCACCGGCCUCCAACCACACACCGGGUCUAUGGUGAUCUCCUCGUAGUCCGAACUGAGAGAGAGGAAGACAAAGGAGGGUUACUGGACAUCAGACAGAGGAUUAGGUAUCACCAUAUUUACAUGAAAUCCACAUGUGAGCACUUACUUCUGGAUGUAGACAAGAAUCCCGAGCAUGUACUGGUCGACCUCGAGCCCCUCGAGCAGAGCGGUUUUACUGUGAACGACAGGAACAAGCUGCUGGUUACGUUUCACGCUGAGAACAUCUGAUAUUAAAACACGUGAUGAGACGUCGAUAUCGUACGUACUUGCACACCGGACAUCUCCAGGUCCCUCUUUCACAAUUCAGCUGCAAAUAUGACUCCAGGUCGAAACACUACAAAACAAAGACAUCAGUGUGAGAGUGAUUCACUUACAUGUACACUGUAGGUGCGUGUAUACGUGUGUGUGUGAGCGUACCUGUAUGUGUCUGCAGUCGUGACCUCUGGCUGGCAGCUGGAUUCGUCUGAACGUGAUCGGACAUUUGAGGGAAACUUUAAUUGCCGUCUGCUCGACGCCGUCCUCUCCGUUCAGACCGGGGGUCCCAGGGAUGGUGCCGCUGCUGAAAUUUCUCUUUACUGAAACAAAAAGAUAAAAAAGGAGGCAGAAUUACUUUACUGCUGACAUAACCCCAUAUAUCAUGUUGUCUUUAGAGGGUUUUUUGUCCGUCGUUAAGCUUCUUCCUGAGACAAAGUUGUUCUGAUUCUGGAGAUGUGUUAAACUUGAUGAUACUGUAAAAUAUGACAACUUUAUAGAAAAGGAGAGCGGUCUAAAUGUGGGUCUUAAAGGAAAAUGAGUUUGCUUUUGAGUAUUUUAUCCAUUUCAUGUUCAUUUAGAGGAUAUUUAGAUCAAAUGACGGUGGCUCACUCUUAGUGAUGCAGUGCUCUGCAGGCAGGAGCCUCUUCUUCAUCAGACCCUGCAGGACAGACCUGACAGACGGCCGGUGAACCAACUGCAACACAAACAGGUGGGACUACGGAGAGAGAGGAGGGACAAAAUGAGUUUAAAAUGAGAUCUUAAUACAAGAUAUAUAAAUGUGUUGUAUUCUAGGAACGCCAGAGAGGAGGGACACUUACACAACAGCAGGCCGUUACUGUGAUCUGUACCGUGUUACGUCCUGGCUGACACACUUGCUUCAGGUACAAGGGCUUGUGGGAAGUUUUGUUGUCGCCUCUUUCGAUGCACAGAGGAGUCGCGUUGACACUCACCUGAAACAGAUACAGAAAAAACAGGUGAUGAUUUUUCUGACAGUCAGUCUGAUCAGAAAGCCCUUAAAAUACCCAUAAAUAUUAUGAUAAUUGUAAUUCAGAAGGAAGAGUUUCAUGUUAAGGCUGGUGAUGAGGACUUACUUGCACUGAUGCAGGCCAGUUAGUGUUCAUCUGUCGGUCCUCGUGGUGGUAACACUUGAACUGCAGCUCCAGAUCAGGCCUGCAGGGGGCGACACAACACAAACCAUCAGGGACAGACUGGGUGGGGUUAUCAAACAUUCCUCAUUUGUUUUUCCUCAUCUGGUGCUUUUUAAAAUCACUCAGGAAGAGGUGUGCUGCUCUGAAUUCACACUGAAGCCACAUAAUAUGUUACAGAGGAAGAUAACACAACGAAAGACACAUUUUGUUGAUGAUUUUGUUGAUUAAACACCAGAUGAUGUUGAAAAUCAAGCAUUUUUCAAGGAGUAUAUUCAAACUGAAGCAUAUUCUGGACAUAAAGGUUUAAAUUAAGCAUUUUCCAUUCUUCCAAGACUCUGUUUUGUUUUUGUUUUUUUUACUAGGUUUUUUAAUCGUCCAACAAAGAUACGAAACAGGAAACACAGGAUAUGAGAGUGUGAUGGAGCGUCUUUGUACCUCAUCAUGAGUGUUUUGUAGACGGAGUCUCUCAGCUGGAAGGCGUGGUUACUGACGGCCAGGUUGUGCUCCAGUCUGAACGGCUCCAGCACGAUGCCGUCUCGUACUGGGAACGUCAGACGCAGGUCGUCGCUCGGGUUACCUGGACAAGAAAAUUGCUUUUAGGUCGUUUUCACUGCACAGUAACAAAAAGCAUUGAGACAGAGAGCGUGCUUCCUGAUGUGUGUUCACUGCAGAGCGUCUCACCUGUGGAGACCUGCUGGGUGUUGAUGUUGGGUUUGAUGUCCGGGGGAAGGUAGGGGGGUUUCGUGUCCUGGCCUGGGGACAGGUAGGGAGGUAUGGACGUCCCAGGUGUCAUCGGCGGCGUGGGAUUCCCUCCCAUCGGAGAGCUGGGAUACCCGGGCAUCACUCCACCCCGACCUGGCUGAGAGACGACGAAUGACAACGAGUGUUUAGAACUUCAGAGUAUCUCAUUAAACAUCCGA
Sparus aurata (gilthead seabream) is the source of this 4064-nucleotide long non-coding RNA. NCBI's taxonomy places the organism in Eukaryota, Metazoa, Chordata, Actinopteri, Spariformes, Sparidae. The record is from Ensembl.